RNAcentral lists this microRNA precursor (245 nucleotides) under Lotus japonicus. RNAcentral's name for it is "miR7530 stem-loop (lja-MIR7530)". Lineage: Eukaryota; Viridiplantae; Streptophyta; Magnoliopsida; Fabales; Fabaceae. The record is from miRBase by way of RNAcentral.
UAAUCAAACCCUCUCCUCCUUCCUCUCUUCACUAUCUUCUUCCAAACACGGCCGACCUUCCUCUUCCUCCAACCAGCCGCCACCUUCUAACUGAUCCCUGGCGAGAUGGUAGUGCGAUGGAGGUCUCAACGGCGCGGCGAGAUGGCAAGGCUCACGGUAGUGCGUUGGUUGCAACAGUGAAGAGCGACGGCGCGUGGAAGAGGAGGACGGCAGAAGGGAAGGUCAGGUUAGCUUGGGUUUGAUUG